UGCAAGUCGAGCGGCAGCGACUUAACUGAACCUUCGGGGAACGUUAAGGGCGGCGAGCGGCGGACGGGUGAGUAAUGCCUGGGAAUAUGCCCUGAUGUGGGGGAUAACUAUUGGAAACGAUAGCUAAUACCGCAUAAUCUCUUCGGAGCAAAGAGGGGGACCUUCGGGCCUCUCGCGUCAGGAUUAGCCCAGGUGGGAUUAGCUUGUUGGUGAGGUAAUGGCUCACCAAGGCAACGAUCCCUAGCUGGUCUGAGAGGACGACCAGCCACACUGGAACUGAGACACGGUCCAGACUCCUACGGGAGGCAGCAGUGGGGAAUUUUGGACAAUGGGCGAAAGCCUGAUCCAGCAAUGCCGCGUGAGUGAAGAAGGCCUUCGGGUUGUAAAGCUCUUUUGUCAGGGAAGAAACGGUGAAAGCUAAUAUCUUUUGCUAAUGACGGUACCUGAAGAAUAAGCACCGGCUAACUACGUGCCAGCAGCCGCGGUAAU
RNAcentral lists this ribosomal RNA (489 nucleotides) under uncultured bacterium. RNAcentral describes it as "bacterial SSU rRNA". It matches the Rfam family "Bacterial small subunit ribosomal RNA", at positions 56 to 524 of the family's 1533-position model. The record is from RNAcentral.